This is an RNA transcript of Panicum virgatum (switchgrass), 2599 nucleotides long. It is a transcript of the gene named transmembrane E3 ubiquitin-protein ligase FLY2-like, with no coding region annotated. NCBI's taxonomy places the organism in Eukaryota, Viridiplantae, Streptophyta, Magnoliopsida, Poales, Poaceae. The transcript has 15 exons. The record is from RefSeq and is a predicted model, not a curated record.
GUCACCUACCUUCCCUCCACCUCUCCACCCGCCCGUUUGACCCCGUCCCCUGCUCGCUUUCCCCUUCCGUUCCCCUCCCCCACCUGCUCCUCCGCCAGCCGCCCCGUCCUAGGUUUAGCGCGCUCCCCAGAACCCAACCGCCUCCCUCCGGGCCGCCCGGAGAGAGCAGUUGCCUGGCCGCACGCCGCGGGCCCCCGCAUGGUCGCCUCCGCGACGGCGUGAGGGCUGCGCGCGCUCGUGGUGUGCAUCGGGGAGAUAGAGAGAUAGAUAGAUGAGACCCUCCGCCGCUGCCGGCCGCAGCGGCGCUGUGAUGAGGGCCGCUGCUGUGGGGCUCGUGCUGGUCGGCGUCGCCCUAGCCCCGCCGCUGGCCGCGGCGCUGCGGCCGCUCCGGGAGCGCGUCGCGUCCGCCGGAGCCUCCUCCUCCGCCGGUUCGUGGGGCGAUGAGCACGCCUUCUUCAAAAGGGAUGAUAAUGAUAUAGGCCCCUAUUCAUGGAAUAUUACGGGAACGUAUAAAGGGAGCUGGGCCUUUGCUGGUGCCACAAAUGGUUCAUCUAGGUUUCUUGAGUUUGUGAAAUCUAAAGGUGAUUCGGUUCUGGAAUUGUUGAGCACUCCAACAAAGAUAAGCGGGGUGCAUUAUGUUCAGGGAUCAAUUACAUUCCAUGAUGUCAUUGACAAUGCCCACGAUCAUGGAGUGGCUCAAAUAAGGUUGGAAGGAGUGUACAUAUGGCCUUUUAGACAACUUCGGAUGGUAGCAAACAAUGGUGCAGAUGGUGAGCCACUUCAAGAAGAGGAUUACUUUUUGUCAAAUCCAUACCAUUUGCUCCGGAUUUUCUCCUCUCAAGUAUUCCAAGAAUCUUCUGAAGAGAAGAACCGAAGGAAGAAUUCUCUCACAUAUGACAUGGAGAAACACUGUAACACAGAAAUUGCUGCUAAGGUGGUUCGCGUGUCAUCUAACCCAAAUGAUGGCGAGCAUGAGAAGUACCGGUUGGAGGGUUUGAUGGAGAGCCCAGCCGUCGAUGAUGAUGGAGAGUGCUUCUCACCUAUCUUACUAAAUGCGACUUCUUUGAAUGUUGAAGUCUAUUACAACAAAGCAGUCAACUACACACUGAUGGUCACUUUUAUCUCUUUCCUUCAAGUUUUGCUGUUGAUUAGACAAAUGGAGCAUAGCAACACUCAAUCUGGAGCUGCUAAGGUUUCUAUUUUAAUGAUUGGCCAACAAGCUAUUAUGGAUGCAUAUCUCUGUCUGCUCCACCUGACUGCUGGGAUAUUGGUUGAGUCGCUGUUUAACGCCUUCGCAACGGCUGCAUUCUUCAAAUUUGUUGUAUUUUCUAUUUUUGAAAUGAGGUACCUUCUCGCCAUAUGGAAAGCAAGUAGGCCUUUAAACAGUGAAGGUUGGGAGAUAAUGAGGCGAGAACUGUCUGUUCUUUACAGCCGCUUUUAUGGUAUUCUUUUGGGAGGAAUCCUUCUAAUGUAUGAGUUGCACAAUUUCUUACGCCCACUUCUUCUCCUGAUGUACUCCUUUUGGGUACCCCAAAUUGUUACAAAUGUCAUCAAGGAUACAAGAAAACCUCUGCACCCACAGUAUAUUUUAGGCAUGACAGUUACCCGCCUUGCUAUUCCACUGUAUAUAUUUGGUUGCCCUAGUAACUUCAUGCGCAUUGAGCCUGACAAGAAAUGGUGCAUAGCUGUUACGGCAUUCAUGGGUAUCCAAGCAGCAGUGCUUUUGCUUCAGCACUAUCUUGGUUCUCGCUGCUUUAUUCCUCGCCAGAUCCUGCCUGAGAAAUACUGCUACCACAGGAAGGUUGAGGAUAGCACGAAUCAGCCCAUUGAUUGUGUUAUUUGCAUGACUACAAUCGAUCUUACCCAAAGAACAAGUGAAUACAUGGUGGCACCUUGUGAGCAUAUAUUCCACUCAGGCUGUUUACAACGAUGGAUGGACAUCAAGAUGGAGUGCCCAACUUGCAGGCGCUCCCUACCGCCAGCUUAGAUGAGGGCUUUGUACCAUAUAGUUAACAAGAAGUAGGUAGCUCAGCUUAUACAAGGUGGAAACUGAGGUACAAUAAGGCGAGGCUGCAACUGCAUGAAAGCUAUCGACAUAACUGUAGAGAAGUUUUAUGCUAUUGAUUUUAAGUGGUGUUGUGUUGUACGAACUAUUGUAUCAAGUGUCCCACGGAGAAAUCGUCCUCAGCUGCCCUUGCGGUUUUCACUGUCGCAUGCCUUUGCCUGCUACGAGUAUUUCAGUCCUGCAUUUUGGUUUGAGCGCUGUACAAAGGGUGUUGCCAAUGUGAAAGAGUUCCAGAUGUGAUGCAUUCCUCACUGUUCCUGCCUUGCUGGAUGUGGCUGAUACAUUCCGCGACACGAGCAGGGUCUGUUUCUGUCAGUGUCAUGGGACUCAACUCUUCCAACCAUGGCACCAUGGCAAAUGCUGUACGUCCGGUCCUGACAUUUCCAGGUUCGAGAUGUGCGAGGUGAAGGGCAGUUCUGCAGCUGGUUGGUUGGUUGAAUGCGAUAUUGAGGCGGAAUGUUUGUUUCGGAGAAGCACAAAGUUCCAACUAAAUAUAUUACUCUCAUUAAAUAUAUACAAGCAUGUGAUGAUGUU